Molecule: long non-coding RNA, 646 nt
Organism: Hordeum vulgare subsp. vulgare (domesticated barley)
Lineage: Eukaryota; Viridiplantae; Streptophyta; Magnoliopsida; Poales; Poaceae
Exons: 2
Source: RefSeq, a predicted model, not a curated record
CCUUUCCCAUUAAAAAGGAAACGGCGAGGGAUGACGCUCAUUCAGUCCCCUGUCUCCCAUCUAGCAGCCACCGCAUCCGUAUUUUCCUUGCGUGGUCUGGAGCGCACCGCCGCUGCCGCAUAGCUCUUCCUCGGUCACCACCAGAAUUCCCAAGCCGAAAUGGCAUCGAAGAAGGGUGGCAAGGCAAGCAAGGUGUCCAAGACCAUCAACUCAGAGGCGUAGGUACGGAAGGAGGCCACUGCAAAGAAGCAGAGGGAUAACAUUAUCUUCGUCCCGGUGGCGCUGACAUCCAACGACCUCACCGUCCGAUAUGGAUGAACGAGACCUCAUGGAUGAAGAGUUCGACAACGAGUACGAUGUCUUGAGGAGUCCCAGUCAGUCUUGCGUUGCUGGAGUCUGCUGUUGGAUUAUUUCAUCGCUUCUGCCGCCACGAAUAAAUCAUCAAGCCUCACUCUGAUGCUUGGUGCGUAGUAGUACUUGUUAUGUCACAUUACUCUAAUGUGUCAUGCCCCUUUUAUUACGAACACUAGGGUUAUCACAUUACCAUGUAACAUAUCCAUCUGUGUGAGACUUGGACAAGUUGUAAUAAAUUGUAGAGCAACUUCUGCUCUACCUGUUUAAAAUUAAGUACUACUGGUUUUUUGUA